RNAcentral lists this ribosomal RNA (253 nucleotides) under uncultured bacterium. RNAcentral's name for it is "partial 16S ribosomal RNA". It matches the Rfam family "Bacterial small subunit ribosomal RNA", at positions 524 to 776 of the family's 1533-position model. The record is from RNAcentral.
UACGAAGGGGGCUAGCGUUGCUCGGAAUCACUGGGCGUAAAGCGCACGUAGGCGGGCUGCCAAGUCAGGGGUGAAAUCGGUCGGCCCAACCGGACAAGGGCCCCUGAUACUGGUGGCCUCGAGGGAGGUAGGGGUCGAUGGAACUUCCGGUGGAGCGGUGAAAUGCGUAGAUAUCGGAAGGAACGCCGGUGGCGAACGCGAUCGACUGGACCUCUUCUGACGCUGAGGCACGAAAGCCAGGGGAGCAAACGGG